UGGACCACCUAGGCAAGUGAGGCACGGCGCAAAACUCAUCGCCAGAAACGAGAGCAUUUGGCAUUGUUGAGGGGCCAUUAAACCCACCAGAAACCUGCGUCGAAAAUGAUAUUCCAGCAGCCGAACCUUGAGCCACACAACCGAUCGGAGUUGAAGCCCGAGCCACCGAUGACUAGACGACAUAAUCACGGUUAUAACGAUAAUAGCAUCGCUAGGCUAAAUGCCCAAAUCUACUACAGAUCUAGCAUUGUAUUCGAGAACGAAACCCUCUGUCUCGACCACCAGACGGAGGACGGCCACAACGGACAGAUGCCACCAUCAGUGGCAAUGGAACAGAUUCAACAAAAUUGGCAUGAAUCAACACCUCCUCUGGAAUCACACGCAUCUGCCAAUUAUCAUAUUCGGGAAGCACAUCAACGAGAUGGUGAAACGAUAACGGUUCUGACAAGAACGAUGCUAACGUAAUCACGGCAUCAAAUUUUGGAGGUAGACCUACAAGAACAAUUUCAACCUUUUUCGCCUCCGAGAUUCGAGAACCAGAGGCCUCGAUCAAGGCACAUGUAUUUUGUAUUUUUGCUACAUAUUCAAUGAUAGUUAGAGUACCUUUUUUAAGGGAAUACAGUUCAUGACGAAUACGGGACAACUUCGCACCGGUUACUGCUGCAAAGAGGGGAGUGGCAGUAUUCCAAAAAUCACUUGCCGUUCGAACAUCUAUAAAUGAAGAUAACAAUGAAGGAUGAAUGGUGGAAAGUAACCAGAAGGCAAGCAGUCGAUCCUAUUGAAGAAACGCCGAGGCAUCCGGAUUUGAAACUAGAGAGCCGUCAGGCGAUUGCACAAAACGUGGCAGAGCAAACAACGUCCCCUACAAAAGACUGGUCAGUUCGUAACCUUCAACGAUUAGCCUAAUAUUUUGUUUCCACUGAACGAAACUUCCAUUAUCCAGUUUAACAGUGUCAUAGCGAGGAAAAGAGUGAACAAGUCGAGCAGCAGUGAACGCCGGACAUCCAUGCUUAAUAGAUGCAGAGUCAGCCGAAGCAGUGGUGGUCAUGAGAACUAAUGACGAUCAAGUUUCCAGCACCAAGGUGACUGAUACCAUGUAAAUAUCUAUAGUAAGCUUGAAUAAAACUGUAUUGAGUAUUGAAUGAGUAUUAUGUAUUUUUUCACUUCAGUAUAUCGCUAGUAUUUAUAGAGUACAUGAGUAAUUGUUGAUUAGUAACUAGUGCUAAUAGCAUAACUACUUGAAUAACAAACUUUCAGCUAAUAGACUAAUAGAGUUUAGGGCUAACAGACUCUUUACCUAUACACUAACAGGCUUAAAAAGAUCCAGGCACAAUAUCUUAUUUUAAAUUAUGUAAAAUAGUAGAAAUUGUGUUAGGGUUUUACACUGUCAUAUUAAUAUAUUUCCAUGAGUCUGGUACAGUAGGGUUACAAAAUAAUCUAAGGGUGAUUUAUGAUGACACUUUCACAAUAGCUAUGUUAGGCUUUUGGGUCAAGUUUAAGGAGAUUCAGCUAUAUGUUGAACAUGAAGUGAAUAACCUUAAAAUUGUAGGUGAUAUGUUACUGUUGACUACAGGGGAAAGUGAUGUUGAAAGAGUAGAAGUUGAUAGAGAGGAUGAUGUUGAAGGGGUAAAAGUUGAUGGGGAGGGUGAUGUUGAUGGGGUAGAUUUAGAUGGGGAAGGUGUUGUAGAAGAGGUACAAGUUGUUGGGGAAUGUGAUGUUGAAAGGGUAGAAGCUGAUGGGUAGGGUGAUGUAGAAGGCGUACAAACUUAUGAAGAGGGUGAUGUAGAAGGUGUAAAAGUUAAGGCAAAUGAGUAUGGUGGUGGGGAAAGUGGUGGGCAAGUUAGUUUAGGAUCAACUAUUAGAGAAGAUAAUGAUAGUGGUUGUGGAUAAUUUGUUGUAAUGAAAAUGCUGUUGAUUUUGCAACAUUAGAUGGAGUCGACAAUGUUGCUGCUGCAGUUAGUGGAGAAGAGGAGAAUGGGAAUAAGACUGAGGUAUGGGACUCAGAUGAACAUGGCAGCUAGGUUGGGUUCGAUGAAGAUGAAAAACAUGAAGAUGUGAGAGAAGGAGAAGCAAGUUUCCCUUAUACAAUGACCGGUCUGAUCCAUUAAAAUUUAGUUUGGAGCAUGAGCCAAUGGGAAGGACUCCGCUGCAGUGAAGGCUAAACAUCAUCGAAAUAGUAACGCUUUUGACAACCCCAAUUCUAACGCUUCCUGCAAAAUGUUCACUCAAUUUUGUAGGCAGUGAACUGCAGGCCCAAGCUGUUGCCCCUUUUUUAUUUUAAGGAACUAUCUAGUUGUUCACUUAAAUUCGAGUAAUAUAAGAACAGAAAUAACAUUUCUUCUAAAUGAGAUGAGAGAUGCAUGUUAGUGGUUAGUAUUGCGGUAGCCAUAUGAUAUGCAUUGUUUCACUGACAAAUGCACAAGGCUGCCUUUGCAUUGCCUUCAUUCUUAAAGGGGGAGGUGACGCUACAGUGCGACUCUGCAACCAAAACACCAGGAAUAUGAAUCUCCCCCAACCAAAUAUUUACAGCAAUCUCGAUUGUUUCUGUUGAAAUGAAAAUACUACCAUCUGGGGAAAUCAGCAGUAAAUAAAUGGUUCUUCACAUGCAGGAGCAGCCGAAGUCAGUUUGCCUGCAUGUUUAUUACAGAUUUUAGUAAGUGUAGGGCCUGUUGUUUUGGAGCACAGUAGUUGCUGUAAAUUGCUUUGUUGGCGCAUUUAUGAACCCUUUGCUUUAUGCAGCUUCCUUUUGC
RNAcentral lists this long non-coding RNA (2750 nucleotides) under Gossypium barbadense (sea-island cotton). RNAcentral's name for it is "long non-coding RNA (GBAR_LNC015220)". Lineage: Eukaryota; Viridiplantae; Streptophyta; Magnoliopsida; Malvales; Malvaceae. The record is from RNAcentral.